This 557-nucleotide ribosomal RNA is filed under the name uncultured bacterium. RNAcentral's name for it is "bacterial SSU rRNA". It matches the Rfam family "Bacterial small subunit ribosomal RNA", at positions 102 to 694 of the family's 1533-position model. The record is from RNAcentral.
ACGGGUGAGUAACGCGUGGGAACGUACCCUUUGAUCUGGAAUAACUGUGGGAAACUGCAGCUAAUACUGGAUAUACCCUUCGGGGGAAAGAUUUAUCGUCAAAGGAGCGGCCCGCGUUAGAUUAGGUAGUUGGUGGGGUAAUGGCCUACCAAGCCUGCGAUCUAUAGCUGGUCUGAGAGGAUGAUCAGCCACACUGGGACUGAGACACGGCCCAGACUCCUACGGGAGGCAGCAGUGGGGAAUAUUGGACAAUGGGGGCAACCCUGAUCCAGCAAUGCCGCGUGAGUGAAGAAGGCCUUCGGGUUGUAAAGCUCUUUUACCAGGGAAGAUAAUGACGGUACCUGGGGAAUAAGCUCCGGCUAACUUCGUGCCAGCAGCCGCGGUAAUACGAAGGGAGCUAGCGUUGUUCGGAAUUACUGGGCGUAAAGGGCGCGUAGGCGGUCAUAUAAGUCAGAUGUGAAAGCCCCGGGCUUAACCUGGGAACUGCAUUUGAUACUGUAUGACUAGAGAUCGAAAGAGGAGAGUGGAAUUGCGAGUGUAGAGGUGAAAUUCGUAGA